UACGUAGGGUGCAAGCGUUAAUCGGAAUUACUGGGCGUAAAGCGUGCGCAGGCGGCUGUGCAAGACAGAUGUGAAAUCCCCGGGCUUAACCUGGGAACUGCAUUUGUGACUGCAUGGCUAGAGUGUGUCAGAGGGGGGUAGGAAUUCCACGUGUAGCAGUGAAAUGCGUAGAUAUGUGGAGGAAUACCGAUGGCGAAGGCAGCCCCCUGGGAUAGCACUGACGCUCAUGCACGAAAGCGUGGGGAGCAAACAGG
RNAcentral lists this ribosomal RNA (254 nucleotides) under uncultured bacterium. Its description in RNAcentral is "partial 16S ribosomal RNA". It matches the Rfam family "Bacterial small subunit ribosomal RNA", at positions 524 to 776 of the family's 1533-position model. The record is from RNAcentral.